This 459-nucleotide ribosomal RNA is filed under the name uncultured bacterium. RNAcentral describes it as "partial 16S ribosomal RNA". It matches the Rfam family "Bacterial small subunit ribosomal RNA", at positions 338 to 795 of the family's 1533-position model. The record is from RNAcentral.
CCUACGGGUGGCAGCAGUGAGGAAUAUUGGUCAAUGGGCGGAAGCCUGAACCAGCCAAGUAGCGUGAGGGAUGAAGGUACAGAGUAUCGUAAACCUCUUUUGUCAGGGAACAAAGGCGGGGACGCGUCCCCGGAUGAGUGUACCUGAAGAAAAAGCAUCGGCUAACUCCGUGCCAGCAGCCGCGGUAAUACGGAGGAUGCGGGCGUUAUCCGGAUUUAUUGGGUUUAAAGGGUGCGCAGGCGGUCUGUUAAGUCAGCGGUCAAAGCCCGGGGCUCAACCCCGGCCCGCCGUUGAAACUGGCAGUCUCGAGUUGGAGAGAAGUAUGCGGAAUGCGCGGUGUAGCGGUGAAAUGCAUAGAUAUCGCGCAGAACUCCGAUUGCGAAGGCAGCAUGCCGGCUCCACACUGACGCUGAGGCACGAAAGCGUGGGUAUCGAACAGGAUUAGAUACCCUAGUAGUC